Molecule: transfer RNA, 80 nt
Filed under: Allostigmatella aurantiaca DW4/3-1
Lineage: Bacteria; Pseudomonadati; Myxococcota; Myxococcia; Myxococcales; Archangiaceae
Description: Stigmatella aurantiaca DW4/3-1 tRNA-Met
Rfam family: tRNA
About the family: Transfer RNA (tRNA) molecules are approximately 80 nucleotides in length. Their secondary structure includes four short double-helical elements and three loops (D, anti-codon, and T loops). Further hydrogen bonds mediate the characteristic L-shaped molecular structure. tRNAs have two regions of fundamental functional importance: the anti-codon, which is responsible for specific mRNA codon recognition, and the 3' end, to which the tRNAs corresponding amino acid is attached (by aminoacyl-tRNA synthetases). tRNAs cope with the degeneracy of the genetic code in two manners: having more than one tRNA (with a specific anti-codon) for a particular amino acid; and 'wobble' base-pairing, i.e. permitting non-standard base-pairing at the 3rd anti-codon position.
Source: RNAcentral
GGCCAGGUAGCUCACCUGGUUAGAGCGGCGGUCUCAUAAUCCGCAGGUAGUCGGUUCAAGUCCGACCCUGGCCACAAGCC